RNAcentral lists this small nucleolar RNA (53 nucleotides) under Metallosphaera yellowstonensis MK1. Its description in RNAcentral is "Small nucleolar RNA sR5". It matches the Rfam family "Small nucleolar RNA sR5". Lineage: Archaea; Thermoproteati; Thermoproteota; Thermoprotei; Sulfolobales; Sulfolobaceae. The record is from Rfam by way of RNAcentral.
AUGAUGAUGAGAGCCCUAAAUUUGAGCUAAUGAUAUGGGCCCGUGUUCCUGAU